This 447-nucleotide ribosomal RNA is filed under the name uncultured Bacillota bacterium. RNAcentral describes it as "bacterial SSU rRNA". It matches the Rfam family "Bacterial small subunit ribosomal RNA", at positions 936 to 1382 of the family's 1533-position model. The record is from RNAcentral. Lineage: Bacteria; Bacillati; Bacillota.
AGCAUGUGGUUUAAUUCGAUGCAACGCGAAGAACCUUACCUGGGCUUGACAUCCCGGGAAUCCCUUGGAAACAAGGGAGUGCCCUUCGGGGAACCUGGAGACAGGUGCUGCAUGGCUGUCGUCAGCUCGUGUCGUGAGAUGUAGGGCUAAGUCCCGCAACGAGCGCAACCCUUAUCAUUAGUUGCUAACAGUAAGAUGAGCACUCUAAUGAGACCGCCGGUGACAAACCGGAUGAAGGUGGGGAUGACGUCAAAUCAUCAUGCCCCUUAUGACCUGGGCUACACGCGUGCUACAAUGGCCGGUACAAAGAGUCGCAAAACCGCGAGGUGGAGCUAAUCUCACAAAACCGGUCUCAGUUCAGAUUGUAGUCUGCAACUCGACUACAUGAAGGUGGAAUCGCUAGUAAUCGCAAAUCAGCAUGUUGCGGCGAAUACGUUCUCGAGUCUU